CUGCAUGACGAUGGAGUGAUGGCAGGGAUGAUGAAACAUCUUCUGGUUACAUGCGAACUUUUUUGCAGGACUCCACCGCUUUGAUUUACGAUUAAUUCGGUAUGGACGGAUCGACGAACUUCAUUUUAAGUGGGUUUUAAGCAUUCCCGCGAGACGUUAACACAAACGCAGAUGGAGGUAAAGUAAUGAUAUUCUAAUGAGAUUCUUUUGUUUAAAUACCCGCCAUGUUCUCUGAAUUGUUAAAAAUGGAUAGGAAACACCUGACAUAAUAGACG
Non-coding RNA from Paramuricea clavata, 275 nucleotides. The record is from the annotation of a GenBank genome assembly. Lineage: Eukaryota; Metazoa; Cnidaria; Anthozoa; Malacalcyonacea; Plexauridae.